GAUCCUGGCUCAGGAUGAACGCUAGCUACAGGCUUAACACAUGCAAGUCGAGGGGCAGCAUGGUCUUAGCUUGCUAAGGCCGAUGGCGACCGGCGCACGGGUGAGUAACACGUAUCCAACCUGUCGUCUACUCUUGGACAGCCUUCUGAAAGGAAGAUUAAUACAAGAUGGCAUCAUGAGUCCGCAUGUUCACAUGNUAAGUAUCGU
RNAcentral lists this ribosomal RNA (207 nucleotides) under uncultured bacterium. RNAcentral's name for it is "partial 16S ribosomal RNA". It matches the Rfam family "Bacterial small subunit ribosomal RNA", at positions 15 to 211 of the family's 1533-position model. The record is from RNAcentral.